RNA transcript from Mangifera indica (mango), 1776 nucleotides. RefSeq lists it as uncharacterized. The record is from RefSeq and is a predicted model, not a curated record. Lineage: Eukaryota; Viridiplantae; Streptophyta; Magnoliopsida; Sapindales; Anacardiaceae. The transcript has 16 exons.
UACUUGAACCAAACGCAGCCUCAACUUAGCAAAUUUCAAAUCAAAAGCGGGCGACUGUCGUCACAACUGUCCAAAUAAAGGAUCACGAAACCUGCGUAGCUUAGAGCCAAAAAACUGGAUUUUUUUAUUCGUUUACAUUUUGAAUUGGCAAUUACGCAUGAAGACUUACUUUACAUAUAAAACUCGCAUAAAUUCUCAAAUUCACUGUCCUUCCCGGGAGCUCUCACUUGCCGGCGCGGUUUAAUCGGAGUCUUUCCCGCCAGAUAACGUUUCAGAAGAUGUCUUGUUCGUCGGAAAGCGUUGUUCCUACUCUCAGAACUGUCACCAUUUCUUACUCCGAGCUUAAGGACAAGAACGCUGACUUGUCGGUGAAAAUUGAACAAGGGUUUGGAGCAAACGGGCUAGGAAUCCUCGCCGUUACAGACGUUCCAGGGUUUUCUUCAUUGCGUCAGAAUCUUCUGCAGCUUGCACCCAGAUUAGCUAGUCUGCCUGAAGAGGCAAAGAAGGAUCUUGAAGAUCAUCAUAGCAGGUAUAACUUUGGAUGGAGUCAUGGAAAGGAGAAGCUUGAAUCUGGAAAGCCUGAUAUGUUGAAGGGUUCCUUCUAUGCAAAUCCAGUAUUGGAUGUACCUACAACUGACCCAUCUCUGAUACAAUGGUAUCCAUCCUAUUGUGGUUCAAAUAUAUGGCCUGAUAGUGCAUUGCCAGAACUUGAAGGGGCUUUCAAAAGUCUUGGAAAGCUGAUCCUAGAUGUUGGACUGAUGGUGGCAUUUCAUUGUGAUCAAUAUGUGUCUAAAGGGAUGAAAAUGAAUGUGGAUGAAGGCCUUGAGCAAAUACUUCUUCGCUCUCGGUGUCACAAAGGUCGUUUGCUUUAUUACUUUCCAACACAACAGAGCAAUCAUGUCCAAGAUGGUGACUCCAUGUCAUCUUGGUGUGGAUGGCAUACAGACCAUGGCUCAUUGACAGGUCUGACCUGUGGUAUGUUUACAAGAGACGGUAUUGUAAUACCUUGUCCUGAUAAUGCUGCUGGCCUCUAUAUAAGAACAAGGACUGAUGAAAUUGUCAAAGUUGUCUUUGGAGAAGAUGAGAUAGCAUACCAAAUUGGUGAGACAACCCAAAUACUGUCAAGAGGUUUUCUGUGUGCAACACCUCAUUGUGUCCGGGCACCAAAAGGGAGGGAUGUUUCUGGCGUUGACAGAUCCACAUUUGCAUUAUUUAUGCAACCAGACUGGGACGAAAAGCUUAAUUUUCCAGAGGAGGUGUGCAUUCAUAAAGAGACAUGCUUCUGAGGCUCACUUAGUAAUGAUUGUGGGCCAAGUGGGCUGAUUACAGCAUGGUCCGUCGUGCCUCGACUCGCUAGCAAGACAAGGCUUAUGACUGUGCUCUCGUUGACCGUGUCAAAAUGGAGGGCUUGGCUCAGACCCCUACCAUGUCUUGACUCACUCCUUCAAAAGUAGGAAGCCAAUAAAACAGUUUAAAAAAAAAAAAAUUUAAGUCACUCAAAGGGAAUGGAAAAAGUAUGACUUGAUUCAUGUUAGCUGAUUAAAUUCACAACAUGCAUUUGAGUGGAUGGAUUAUUGGAAAACUUUGUCAAUGUCUAGCAUGAUCAACUUGCAUAUUAAAUAUUUCUUGUUAUAUUGCAUUAGGGAUCCAUCAAUUUGUUGAAUAUAAUUGUAGUUAAAUCAACUUUCUUUUCCUGUUUAAAUCUCAGGUGAUACCAUCAAAUGGCACUCUUACGUUUGGAGAAUACUCGGAGAAACUUUUGGACAAGUAUUACCA